GAAAGAGAGGGUGAUGAGAAAGAAAGGCCAAGUGAGAGAGUGAUAGUGGAAAGGUCGAGCAAAGAAAAGAUGGACAGCACGAGUUGAGGAGGAUUAGAAGGAAGGAUCCUCAUCUAGAGUCCGUGGGGAUGAGAAGAGUCCGAAGAAGGACCAUUGCCGUAGACGAACAUUCAUUCGGAAGUAAGAGGAUGACCAAACUUGAAUGUGGAACAUUGUAAAGGAAUGGCAUACGCAUAUAUAUGUGCAACGAACAGCUAAUCAUAUGUACAUGAAUACUUAUUGUGAGUUGGGAUUUUCUCGUCUAGUACUUUAGAAAGGAUAUUGUAUGUGUUGUGUUAGAACUAGAAUGGGCGAAGUAUGACGCUCUACCCCUUCAAGGGAUGUAGUUCACUGUAUUUGUCAAUAUUUUCCUGAUUGCUUUGUUGUGAAAAAUGGUUGGUGGCUUA
Molecule: unclassified non-coding RNA, 446 nt
Filed under: Carica papaya (papaya)
Lineage: Eukaryota; Viridiplantae; Streptophyta; Magnoliopsida; Brassicales; Caricaceae
Source: RNAcentral